AGAGUUUGAUCCUGGCUCAGGAUGAACGCUGGCGGCGUGCCUAACACAUGCAAGUCGAACGGACUUACAUUGAAGCCUAGCGAUAUGUAAGUUAGUGGCGGACGGGUGAGUAACGCGUGGGUAACCUGCCUUGUACUGGGGGACAACAGUUGGAAACGACUGCUAAUACCGCAUAAGCGCACAGCUUCGCAUGAAGCAGUGUGAAAAACUCCGGUGGUACAAGAUGGACCCGCGUCUGAUUAGCUGGUUGGUGAGGUAACGGCCACAAGGCAACGAUCAGUAGCCGGCCUGAGAGGGUGAACGGCCACAUUGGGACUGAGACACGGCCAAACUCUACGGAGCA
RNAcentral lists this ribosomal RNA (343 nucleotides) under uncultured bacterium. RNAcentral describes it as "bacterial SSU rRNA". It matches the Rfam family "Bacterial small subunit ribosomal RNA", at positions 8 to 350 of the family's 1533-position model. The record is from RNAcentral.